CCGGCACGGGUGAGUAACACGUAUCCAACCUGCCGUCUACUCUUGGCCAGCCUUCUGAAAGGAAGAUUAAUCCAGGAUGGCAUCAUGAGUUCACAUGUCCGCAUGAUUAAAGGUAUUUUCCGGUAGACGAUGGGGAUGCGUUCCAUUAGAUAGUAGGCGGGGUAACGGCCCACCUAGUCAACGAUGGAUAGGGGUUCUGAGAGGAAGGUCCCCCACAUUGGAACUGAGACACGGUUCAA
RNAcentral lists this ribosomal RNA (239 nucleotides) under uncultured bacterium. Its description in RNAcentral is "partial 16S ribosomal RNA". It matches the Rfam family "Bacterial small subunit ribosomal RNA", at positions 100 to 334 of the family's 1533-position model. The record is from RNAcentral.